This 785-nucleotide ribosomal RNA is filed under the name uncultured bacterium. Its description in RNAcentral is "bacterial SSU rRNA". It matches the Rfam family "Bacterial small subunit ribosomal RNA", at positions 45 to 825 of the family's 1533-position model. The record is from RNAcentral.
UGCUUACACAUGCAGUCGAACGGUAACAGGUGUAGCAAUACAUGCUGACGAGUGGCGGACGGGUGAGGAAUGCUUGGGAAUCUGCCUGUUAGUGGGGGACAACCCGGGGAAACUCGGGCUAAUACCGCAUACGCUCUACGGAGGAAAGCGGGGGACCGUAAGGCCUCGCGCUAACAGAUGAGCCCAAGUCGGAUUAGCUAGUUGGUGGGGUAAAAGCCUACCAAGGCGACGAUCCGUAGCUGGUCUGAGAGGACGAUCAGCCACACUGGGACUGAGACACGGCCCAGACUCCUACGGGAGGCAGCAGUGGGGAAUAUUGGACAAUGGGGGCAACCCUGAUCCAGCAAUGCCGCGUGUGUGAAGAAGGCCUGCGGGUUGUAAAGCACUUUUGGCAGGGAUGAAAAGCACUGGAUUAAUAACCCAGUGUGUUGACCUAACCUGCAGAAGAAGCACCGGCUAACUCUGUGCCAGCAGCCGCGGUAAUACAGAGGGUGCAAGCGUUAAUCGGAAUUACUGGGCGUAAAGCGCGCGCAGGCCGUCGAGUAAGUCGGAUGUGAAAUCCCCGGGCUUAACCUGGGAAUUGCAUUCGAUACUGCUUGGCUAGAGUGUGGAAGAGGGAAGCGGAAUUUCCGGUGUAGCGGUGAAAUGCGUAGAUAUCGGAAGGAACACCAGUGGCGAAGGCGGCUUCCUGGUCCAACACUGACGCUGAGGCGCGAAAGCGUGGGGAGCGAACAGGAUUAGAUACCCUGGUAGUCCACGCUGUAAACGAUGAGAACUAGAUGUUG